This 481-nucleotide ribosomal RNA is filed under the name Unedogemmula tayabasensis. Its description in RNAcentral is "partial 16S ribosomal RNA". It matches the Rfam family "Bacterial large subunit ribosomal RNA", at positions 1846 to 2589 of the family's 2925-position model. Lineage: Eukaryota; Metazoa; Mollusca; Gastropoda; Neogastropoda; Turridae. The record is from RNAcentral.
UAGGGAGUCGGACCUGCCCAGUGAAAUUUUUAACGGCCGCGGUACUCUGACCGUGCAAAGGUAGCAUAAUCAUUUGCCUUGUAAUUGAAGGCUAGUAUGAAUGGUUUGACAAGAAUAUAACUGUCUCUUUAUAAUUUUAUAGAACUUUAUUUUAAGGUGAAGAAGCCUUAAUUAAAUUAAAAGACAAGAAGACCCUAUCGAGCUUUAGAGAAAUUUAUAGAGAUUAAUUAAUAAGUGAUUUAAAAAAUUGGCUAUUAAAUACUUUGGUUGGGGCGACUGAGGAACAAAUAAAGCUUCCUUUAGCAAUAGUGCACACACAAGUAUUGAUCCAGAAUUUUUGAUUAAAGAAAUUAGUUACCGUAGGGAUAACAGCAUUAUCUUUUUUGAGAGUUCUUAUCGAAAAAAAGGUUUGUGACCUCGAUGUUGGACCAGAAUAUCCUAAAGAUGCAGAAGUCUUUAAGGGUUGGUCUGUUCGACCAUU